UGUUUCUUGGUGCUUGGUGUUCAGUAAACUGUAGGAAAGCUCACCUCCGCUGGCUUCCUGUGAUGUCACAAUGAAGGACUACUUGCUACCAAGGUAGGCUUCCAGUGGUGACGAUGGGGUGGGCACAUCAUUGGAGAAUUACCAAGCAAAAUAAGUUUGUUUUCAACAAAGUUUGAGUUCGAAUGAAUUGACUGUAUACUGACCUGAUUUUGCCCUAUGCUAUCUGUCUUUCUCCCAGGAUUCAGAGAUGAAGCCAGACUUUGGAAGUUCAAGGAAGAUGCAACUUGUCGCAAGUCUGAGGGUGGACAGGCUAUGUGACAGGGAAUGUGGAUGUAUUUAGGAACUGGGGGCAGCUUUAUAUUAACUGCCAGCAAGGGUUCUCCAAAUGAGAAGCAAGCGGUCAGUUCUUCCAACAGCAAGAACAGAGUUUGAAAUCGGACCCACCUCUUCCCCAGAACCUUGUUGAAAACAGCCCAGCAUGUUGACAAUUUCACAGGGACCUCAGCCAUUGGAUAACUGACUUCUGACUUACAACAUGUCAGGAAUGCAAACAAGAUAAGUAAAGUUCCAGAAAGCAUCUCUGAGAUUGUGAAGCAGCCACACUAAGGGUAGUGGAGAAGAAACACAGAAAGAGAAUUCUGUUCUGCUUACUUGUGGGGUUACUCUCCCAGCCCUGCCCUGACCUGCUGACCUCGACACUGAAUUUAUGAGCAACGGCUUUGAUCCCCUUUGAGCCACUUCAGUUCUCUUGGCAUCUCCAGUCUCUGUCAGAUUUACAAUGAGUACUCUGUCACCGUCUUCAGACACACCAGAAGAAGGCAUCAGAUCCCAUUACAGCCAGUUGCAAGCCACCAUGUGGUUGCUGGGAAUUAAACUCAGGACCUCUGGAAGAACAGUCAGUGCUCUUAACUGCUGAGCCAUCUCCCAGCCCCCACCUGAAAAUUCUUAAGUAAAAUCAUCUUGGUUUGGAUGAGAAACACAGGCUUGGUUAUUUAGAUGCUUAAUUCCUAGUUAGCGGUACUGCUUGGGAAGGUUUAGGAGGUAAAGCCUCACUGGUGAAAAUACAUCAAUGGAGGCAGGUUUUGAGAGUUCAUGACCUUCACCUGCUUUCAGUUUGCUCCCUCUGCUUCUUAUUGAGGUUAAAUAUGUUGGGUCUCAGCUUCCUGUUCCUGUCACAUGCCUGCUGCUUGCUUCCACGUUUCCCCACCAAGACACACUUUUAUUCCUCUAGAACCAUGUCUCCCUAUGUACUCCUUCUACAGGUUGCCUCAGGCAUGUUUCCAGCAACAAGAAGUAACUAAUAAAAUCCUCUACUAUAGACACUUAGCCUUCCACACUAAGAAUCCCAUGUCCUGACAUUCAAUCAACAACUAAUCUUAUUUUUCAUCUGUGUAGAAUAUGUACAGACUUUCUGCAUAGGAUAUGUACAGACUUUCUUCUUGACGAUAUUCCUUAAACAAUGCAACAAGCAUGUGUUUACAAAGUAUCUACGUUGUGUCAGGUAUUAUUAUUAUAAGCAAUUUAGAGAAGCUUCAAGGGUAGUAGAAGGUGUUUAUAGGUCUUACACACCAUUUUGUAAGGGACUUGAGCAUCAGCGGAUUUCGUCAUCUGCAGGAAGUUCCAGAGAAAGUUCUUUGCAGACAUCAGGAGGCAACUGUGUGCAUCCUAGGUGAACAUUGCCUGUGUCGAGUGUAACAAAUAUAUUUGUUACAAAGAGAAAUUUGUAUAUUUGUUGCAAAACAUCCAUUGCCCCGAGAACCAACUGUAGCUGUAGGAUAUGAGUCUAAGUGGUAAACAGGAAGGACUGAUAAGAGUAAAUAACUGAGCAUCCACUUGGUGUCAAGCCUUGCUUUGGACAACAGCCAAAGGUUAGAGAAGAACAAAGGAGAAAGAAGGAAAUAAAAGCACGUCAGACCUGGAGGCGGGUUCCAUCUCCAAAACACUGAUCAAAUGGCCAAGAGUUACAUGUAGACAAGUUAGUAUAAGGUAAAGCAGAAGACAAGAAUAACCACUGAGUAUGUGUUGAGCACAAGGAACAUGGUAAACUACUUGUGGGUAAUGGUCCUCCAGAGGGUCUUGGAGGACAGCUAGGCACAGAGGUGGGCAAUGGAAUUUUAGGGAGGAUUCUGAGGAAAAGUUGCUGGAAUGCAAACCUGAAACCACGCACCAGAGAGGUUUUGCUUGUCUGUUAGGCAGAAGGCAGCUGGAAACAAUUCCCGGCAGAUGGUCCUUGGGAAGCACUGAGUCACAAAGGCUGAGGAUAGAGAUCCCACAAGUUCAUAGGAACAGAGGUGCUGAGCUACCUACAUGCGCGUAGCAUUGAGGAGUUAUUGUCACGGCAGGGCUGAAGGAGAGGGAGGAAGUCAUGCUGUAGUCCUGGGCACAAGUGGAGGAGCCAUGCUGAAAGGAGCCCAAGCUAUAUUGGUAGGAGCCCAGGCCAGGACAAGUAUGUGACCAGUGUCAGAGAGGAGGCUCUAGUGAAGCGACGAGGUGAGAAAAGUACCUUGACCUCUCCCACUUUUUCUUCAAAGUUCUUAGGUCACGCUUACCAUUGCUCAAACUCAAGGACAGCCAUGGUUAAGGAAUCCUGCGUGACUGAGACCACCAGCCUGAGCCUCUGAGCCAUCAGUUCCCAACCUGUGGCUCACGACCCCUUUAGCAAACCUCUACCUCUGAAAAUAUUUACAUUUCGAUUCACAACAGUAGCAAAACUACAGUUAUGAAGUAGCAACAAAAAAGUGUUAUGGUUAUUGGACGGGGUGGGGGAAUCACCACAACAGGAGGAGCUGUGUAAAGGGUCAUAGCCUUAGGGAGGUUGAGAACUACUGCUCUAAGUAUAGAACAGAACAGAGCACUGAGAGAUGAGUUUGGGAAAAGAACAAAUGGUCUCCAGACAGGAUAUGGCUGUUAUUGCCUUGAGAUAAGAGUGGUUACAAUUACCUAAGGGAGACCCUUAAGACUGGGCUGACCCUUAAGACUAACAUUCCCGAAUAGAGGAAGGACCUAAGAGAUGUAUAAAGUCCUCUUUCUUAUAUAUGUAAGCCAUUAAUGACUUGUGUGGGAAACUGCCUUUAAGUGGUCUAUAAGUUAGUUGUCUGUGGCUCUGGGGUAAGCGCUCACCUAUGCUUCUAUAAAUAACCCCAAUUAAAUCCAUGGGGUCACCAAGCCAGACUUGUGUGGAUUUGUUUCGAUGGUCUGGUGUGUCCUAUCUGAGCUACAGAGAUGUUUAUUUACAUCUUCCCUAGGAAAAUUCAAUAAUAAGAAAUAGAUGUGGGGUGAAAUCUAUAUAAGUUAAAUCUGUUGAAAUGUUACGACACUAAGGAAUUUAUAAAUCACAUGGCAGAAAAUUUAAAGGCAGUGAUAUCCUAUCAACGAGAAUGUGACAUCCGGUGAUCCUCCAGGGAGGCAGAAGUCCCUGAGUCUCCCUGUCUGCCUUCCCCCUUCCAUGUUCUGCCCAGAUGCUAAGUUUCUUCUUUUCGCCUAGAUGAUUACCUCACCUUUAAAAUAUGGCCACUGUACCUCUGGUUCAGCAGCCACGUGCUAGACAAAACAGGAGCAAAAUAAGGAAAACAGACUGGUCCAGAAAUCCACAGCAGAUUUUCACAAGGUCAGUCUCAGCUCCCGAUGAGAGAGGUUGCAAAAAAAAAAAAAGAAGAAGAAGAAGAAGAAGAAGAAGAAGAAGAAGAAGAAGAAGAAGAAGAAGAAGAAGAAGAAGAAAGAAGAAAGAAGAAAGAAAGAAGCAAAAAAAUAAAAUAUAAGAUGUUUUACUACCCUGAAUAAGAUCACUUGGGAUUUGCUUGUUCAUUAAGACAAGGGCUCACUGUACAAGUCAGAAGGACCUUCAACUCACUGUGUAGCCCAGGCUAAUUCCCACCUUAUGAUGCCCCUACCUUAUAAAUGUUAGGAUCACAGCCAUGUGCUACACACCUGGUUUAAAAUCUGUCGCUUAAAUUUCUCUUCAUAUGUUUGUCUGUGUGCUGGGCAUACGUGUUCAUUCACACGCUGGGGGGUACAUGUGUGUACAGGUACACAGGUGCACAAGCCUGUGGAAAACUGAGAUGUAUACUGAGGGUCUCUCUUAAAUGUGGCGCUUAGCCAGUCAGCUUGCUCUGGGGAUGCCUGUCUCUACCUCUGCUUGCUGGGGUCACAGAUGGACACCAGGCCUACUCAGCUUUUCUGGGGGCUCUGAAACUAUGAACCCUGUUUCUUAUACUUGUUCCACAAAUGCUUUGCUGCCCCCUCGAUUCAGUGAUUUUUAAAGAAGGACGUAAACAUAAAUACUGGGUAGUGACUAGCAAUAUUUGAUACAAAGGGACGGCUUUGGUGUAAUCCAACACUCUAAGUUUUAAUCAUUCAGCUUCUAAUAAUUUCAAAUGUUAAUGUAUCCUCCCAAAUGGAGAUCUCGGGGAAGAUGUUGUUUGGGGGAAGGGAUGGAAUGUCUGCAGUCUGAGUGUAAUAAUGGAUUCAGUGCGUUAGUGACUAGGAAGUAAGAUGCAGAUGAGACAGAGAACUGAGUGGAGAGGGAAACUGGAUUGUUGUUCCCAAUAACUCAUUUCCUUCCUCCGUAAAAAUUGCACUCUCUCACUCUUCCAUUCUGCAAGCCAAGUUUACUUACUGGCUGUAUUGAAGUUGGGUUUGGUGACAGGGAUUUUUUUGGACAACAGUUUGAAAGCAGAAGUGUCAUGUGCCAGAUCCAGGCCACAGCCUGUUCCUGCUUGUCAUCUGAAAGCCGUCGCUCCACCAUGGCAGAAACAACCUCAGUUCUGUUAUGAAGUCACAUGAAAUAAAACCAGAUUGGAUGCCUAGUCCCGCAGAGGGAGGGCUGGAUGCCCGUGGUUGAAGCCAUUGGACUUUGCUCAUAAUGCUAUUUGAGGGAUAUUCCAUUGGCUCUGGUAGUCAUCCUCUGAAGCAUAGGGAAGUGACGUCACUCCCACUAGGGAGCUAUGAUCAUCAAUGCAUGUGGCAGAAGUGGUUAUGAGGAUUCAGGGACACUUGUGCAUUCACACAUUGCUUUUUGAGAUGUGAUGUGGUAGCUUGAGUAAACUGUCUUUCAUGAGAACCUUAGGAGUACACUUUCCACAGGACUCAUCCUUAGGGACCUCAGAGUCAGCCCAAGACAACCCCAAAUCAAGUUCUUAGCACAAAGGAGAUUUAUUUGUCCCAGAGGAAUAGAGAGCAGGGAAUAAGAGACAAAGGUAGGAGAUAGAGG
Molecule: non-coding RNA, 5209 nt
Organism: Rattus norvegicus (Norway rat)
Lineage: Eukaryota; Metazoa; Chordata; Mammalia; Rodentia; Muridae
Source: RefSeq, a predicted model, not a curated record